UCCGGUGUUGGCACCGGCUGUCGGUCCUGACACGUAUAACAGGACCCGGGGGUUGCGCUCGUUGCGGGACUUAACCCAACAUCUCACGACACGAGCUGACGACAGCCAUGCAGCACCUGUGGAGCACCCUGGACGGCGACCGCGUUUCCGCGGCUUGCAGCUCCAUGUCAAGUCUGGGUAAGGUUCUGCGUGUUGCGUCGAAUUAAACCACACGCUCUGCUGCUUGUGCGGGCCCCCGUCAAUUCCUUUGAGUUUCAGCCUUGCGGCCGUACUCCCCAGGCGGGGCACUUAACGCGUUAGCUGCGGCACUGAGAGGGCCGAUCCCCCCAGCGCCUAGUGCCCAUCGUUUACGGCGUGGACUAC
RNAcentral lists this unclassified non-coding RNA (363 nucleotides) under uncultured bacterium. RNAcentral describes it as "contains 16S-23S intergenic spacer region". The record is from RNAcentral.